AUCAGCCCAUUAAGUUAUGUGUGUUUUAGUGGAACGCUCUGGGAAGUGCGAACGUAGAGGGUGAUAUUCCCGUACACGAAAGGGCACACAUAAUGAUGACGAGUAGGGCGAGGCACGUGAAACCUUGUCUGAAUAUGGGGGGACCAUCCUCCAAGGCUAAAUACUCCUGACUGACCGAUAGUGAACCAGUACCGUGAGGGAAAGGCGAAAAGAACCCCUGUGAGGGGAGUGAAAUAGAUCCUGAAACCGCAUGCAUACAAGCAGUGGGAGCACCUUCGUGGUGUGACUGCGUACCUUUUGUAUAAUGGGUCAGCGACUUAUAUUCAGUAGCGAGGUUAACCGUAUAGGGGAGCCGUAGAGAAAUCGAGUCUUAAUAGGGCGUUUAGUUGCUGGGUAUAGACCCGAAACCAGGCGAUCUAUCCAUGAGCAGGUUGAAGGUUGGGUAACACUAACUGGAGGACCGAACCCACUGUCGUUGAAAAGCCAGGGGAUGACUUGUGGAUAGGGGUGAAAGGCUAAUCAAGCCUGGUGAUAGCUGGUUCUCCCCGAAAGCUAUUUAGGUAGCGCCUCGGACGAAUACCAUAGGGGGUAGAGCACUGUUUCGGCUAGGGGGUCAUCCCGACUUACCAAACCGAUGCAAACUCCGAAUACCUAUGAGUACUAUCCGGGAGACAGACUGCGGGUGCUAACGUCCGUAGUCAAGAGGAAAACAAUCCAGACCGCCAGCUAAGGCCCCAAAAUCAUAGUUAAGUGGGAAACGAUGUGGGAAGGCAUAGACAGCUAGGAGGUUGGCUUAGAAGCAGCCACCCUUUAAAGAAAGCGUAAUAGCUCACUAGUCGAGUCGGCCUGCGCGGAAGAUGUAACGGGGCUAAAACUAUGUGCCGAAGCUGCGGAUGUAUACUUUGUAUACGUGGUAGGGGAGCGUUCUGUAAGCCGAUGAAGGUGUGUUGAGAAGCAUGCUGGAGGUAUCAGAAGUGCGAAUGCUGACGUGAGUAACGACAAAACGGGUGAAAAACCCGUUCGCCGAAAGACCAAGGGUUCCAGUCCAACGUUAAUCGGGGCUGGGUGAGUCGACCCCUAAGGCGAGGCCGAAAGGCGUAGUCGAUGGGAAAAUGGUUAAUAUUCCAUUACUUCUGUGUAAUGCGAUGAGAGGACGGAGAAGGCUAAAUCAGCCUGGCGUUGGUUGUCCAGGUGAAAGGAUGUAGGCAUGUAUCUUAGGCAAAUCCGGGGUACUCUAUGCUGAGAUCUGAUAGCAAGCUGUACUUGUACAGCGAAGUGGUUGAUGCCAUGCUUCCAGGAAAAGUCUCUAAGCUUCAGUUACACAGGAAUCGUACCCGAAACCGACACAGGUGGUCAGGUCGAGUAGACCAAGGCGCUUGAGAGAACUCUGCUGAAGGAACUAGGCAAAAUGGUACCGUAACUUCGGGAGAAGGUACGCUGUUGUUGGUGAUGGAACUCGCUUCCUGAGCUGACGACAGCCGCAGAAACCAGGCCGCUGCAACUGUUUAUUAAAAACAUAGCACUCUGCAAACACGAAAGUGGACGUAUAGGGUGUGAUGCCUGCCCGGUGCUGGAAGGUUAAUUGAUGGGGUUAGCGUAAGCGAAGCUCUUGAUCGAAGCCCCAGUAAACGGCGGCCGUAACUAUAACGGUCCUAAGGUAGCGAAAUUCCUUGUCGGGUAAGUUCCGACCUGCACGAAUGGCAUAAUGAUGGCGGCGCUGUCUCCAGCAGAGGCUCAGUGAAAUCGAAAUCGCUGUGAAGAUGCAGUGUACCCGCGGCUAGACGGAAAGACCCCGUGAACCUUUACUGCAGCUUGACACUGAACUUUGACCUUACUUGUGUAGGAUAGGUGGGAGGCUUUGAAGCUGGAACGCUAGUUCCAGUGGAGCCGUCCUUGAAAUACCACCCUGGUAAUGUUGAGGUUCUAACUCUGUCCCGUGAUCCGGGACGAGGACCGUGUCUGGUGGGUAGUUUGACUGGGGCGGUCUCCUCCUAAAGAGUAACGGAGGAGUACGAAGGUGCGCUCAGCGUGGUCGGAAAUCACGCGUAGAGUAUAAAGGCAAAAGCGCGCUUAACUGCGAGACCCACAAGUCGAGCAGGUACGAAAGUAGGUCUUAGUGAUCCGGUGGUUCUGUAUGGAAGGGCCAUCGCUCAACGGAUAAAAGGUACUCUGGGGAUAACAGGCUGAUACCGCCCAAGAGUUCAUAUCGACGGCGGUGUUUGGCACCUCGAUGUCGGCUCAUCUCAUCCUGGGGCUGAAGCAGGUCCCAAGGGUAUGGCUGUUCGCCAUUUAAAGAGGUACGCGAGCUGGGUUUAGAACGUCGUGAGACAGUUCGGUCCCUAUCUACCGUGGGCGCUGGAAAUUUGAGAGGAUCUGCUCCUAGUACGAGAGGACCAGAGUGGACGAACCUCUGGUGUACCGGUUGUGACGCCAGUCGCAUCGCCGGGUAGCUAUGUUCGGAAGGGAUAACCGCUGAAAGCAUCUAAGCGGGAAGCCUACCUCAAGAUAAGAUUUCCCUAGGACUUUAUGUCCUCUAAAGAGCCGUUCGAGACUAGGACGUUGAUAGGUUGGAUGUGGAAGCAUAGUGAUAUGUGAAGCUGACCAAUACUAAUUGCUCGUGAGGCUUGACUAU
This 2632-nucleotide ribosomal RNA is filed under the name Acinetobacter baumannii. RNAcentral's name for it is "partial 23S ribosomal RNA". It matches the Rfam family "Bacterial large subunit ribosomal RNA", at positions 298 to 2925 of the family's 2925-position model. The record is from RNAcentral. Lineage: Bacteria; Pseudomonadati; Pseudomonadota; Gammaproteobacteria; Moraxellales; Moraxellaceae.